UCAGACAUGGUGUAGGGGAAACACGGCCUUUAAUUGUAAGCUGUAAGGUCUGCCCCAAUUUUCAGAGGCAGUCCAGGGUUCAAGUCCCUGUGUCUGAG
Molecule: non-coding RNA, 98 nt
Organism: Mycena vulgaris
Lineage: Eukaryota; Fungi; Basidiomycota; Agaricomycetes; Agaricales; Mycenaceae
Source: the annotation of a GenBank genome assembly